Molecule: ribosomal RNA, 433 nt
Filed under: uncultured bacterium
Lineage: Bacteria
Description: partial 16S ribosomal RNA
Rfam family: Bacterial small subunit ribosomal RNA
Source: RNAcentral
AACGAACGCUGGCGGCAGGCCUAACACAUGCAAGUCGAGCGAGGACUUCGGUUCUAGCGGCGGACGGGUGAGUAACGCGUGGGAAUGUGCCCUUCUCUACGGAAUAGCCCUGGGAAGCUGGGAGUAAUACCGUAUACGCCCUAUUGGGGAAAGAUUUAUCGGAGAAGGAUCAGCCCGCGUUGGAUUAGGUAGUUGGUGGGGUAAUGGCCUACCAAGCCGACGAUCCAUAGCUGGUUUGAGAGGAUGAUCAGCCACACUGGGACUGAGACACGGCCCAGACUCCUACGGGAGGCAGCAGUGGGGAAUCUUAGACAAUGGGGGCAACCCUGAUCGAGCCAUGCCGCGUGAGUGAUGAAGGCCUUAGGGUUGUAAAGCUCUUUCAGCUGGGAAGAUAAUGACGGUACCAGCAGAAGAAGCCCCGGCUAACUCCGUG